Non-coding RNA from Theobroma cacao (cacao), 377 nucleotides. NCBI's taxonomy places the organism in Eukaryota, Viridiplantae, Streptophyta, Magnoliopsida, Malvales, Malvaceae. The record is from RefSeq and is a predicted model, not a curated record.
UUUCAUUUUCUUUCCUUGUUUUCUUUUCAUUUCCUUUUUUUUCUUGCUCCCUUCCUUCUCCCAACUUCUUGUGCACCAAAGUUACAACUUCGAACCCCAAUUUUCAGCACAUCUAAAGCCUAAGAGAAGAAGAAAGAAAAAGAGAGAAAGGAAGAAAAAGCUUAAUUUUGUAAUUCAAGCAAGCUAAGCUAUGGUGGCCAUGGGUGUGAGAGAAUUAUGAAUUUUGUUGGAUGAAAUCCAAGCCAAAACCAAGUGGAGGCAGCCGGUAACUAGGUCGAGGUGUUCUCGUAGAUUCAUUUCCUUGGUAGGUAUCUCGUCAUUCAAUAGCUGAACUUUCGCCCGAGUCUCUCCGCUGGGAGUCGAGUAUCCCUUUUGUU